Molecule: long non-coding RNA, 585 nt
Filed under: Bos taurus (domestic cattle)
Lineage: Eukaryota; Metazoa; Chordata; Mammalia; Artiodactyla; Bovidae
Description: long non-coding RNA NONBTAT015945
Source: RNAcentral
CGUUUAUAAAUCUGGAUUUAUUUCUUUAGAAAAUUGUUCAAUUUUCACACAAAGACAACAGUUAUGAAUUACAUGGUAUGGUGAUUUUGCAGAACACUGACACCAAACUGAAGGCAUACUGGCAAUUUGUUGGAAGUUUCACUUUUUUUUUUUUUUUAAUCUUCAGAGUCACCUUAUAGCUCAGUUCAACGUGAAUGGAUCUUAGAUAAUGUAGUAAGAGACAUUUAAGGUCUUCAGAAUCUAUAUCUACACACAACUACUUCCCUCAAAAAGUAUGUGCUUAAAGUACUGUGCAGAGUUCAAUGAAUUUUCCUGGAUUUUAUUUUUUUAUUAGACCUUUGUUCUGUUUGGAGAUGGUAAAUCUUUCAUUCUUAGACUGCAUUUGUUACUACAUACUGUGUAGUCCAUGGCUAAAAAUAAUCAAGAUGCAGUCUUGCUUUGUAAAAAUUCAAUCAUUUUUAAAUAUGCUUAUUUCUGUUCUGUUUCACUGACAAAGAACUUGAGACAGAUCUUUCAAUGUUCACUCUCUCUCCUCUAGAAGUUUAAUCCAGACGCCACCUCAUCACGUAGUUCUUUCUUGUAAAG